This 475-nucleotide ribosomal RNA is filed under the name uncultured bacterium. RNAcentral describes it as "bacterial SSU rRNA". It matches the Rfam family "Bacterial small subunit ribosomal RNA", at positions 29 to 498 of the family's 1533-position model. The record is from RNAcentral.
AUUGAACGCUGGCGGCGUGCCUAACACAUGCAAGUCGAGCGGUAACAGGUGUAGCAAUACAUGCUGACGAGCGGCGGACGGGUGAGUAACGCUUGGGAAUCUGCCUGAUAGUGGGGGACAACCCGGGGAAACUCGGGCUAAUACCGCAUACGCACUACGGUGGAAAGCCGGGGACCGCAAGGCCUGGCGCUAUCAGAUGAGCCCAAGUCGGAUUAGCUAGUUGGAGGGUAACGGCCUACCAAGGCGACGAUCCGUAACUGGUCUGAGAGGACGACCAGUCACACCGGAACUGAGACACGGUCCGGACUCUACGGGAGGCAGCAGUGGGGAAUAUUGGACAAUGGGCGAAAGCCUGAUCCAGCGACGCCGCGUGGGUGAAGAAGGCCUGCGGGUUGUAAAGCCCUUCGGGUGGGGAAAGAAAGCCUCGAGUUAAUACCUCGGGGUCUUGACGUAACCCAUAGAAGAAGCACCGGCU